Long non-coding RNA from Thalassophryne amazonica, 195 nucleotides. RefSeq lists it as uncharacterized. The record is from RefSeq and is a predicted model, not a curated record. The transcript is spliced from 3 exons. NCBI's taxonomy places the organism in Eukaryota, Metazoa, Chordata, Actinopteri, Batrachoidiformes, Batrachoididae.
CAGGAGUGGAAAAUAAAACAUCUCACCAUCUUCCCGCCUGUCGCCCUCAUGUGAUGUCUCUCCGCCAACCACUGCUUGUCCUUAGCAUCUGCAGCAUACUGCAGGCAGACACACACACACACACACACACACACACACACACACACACACACACACACACACACACACACACACACACACACACACACACACACA